This 220-nucleotide long non-coding RNA is filed under the name Mytilus galloprovincialis (Mediterranean mussel). Lineage: Eukaryota; Metazoa; Mollusca; Bivalvia; Mytilida; Mytilidae. The record is from RNAcentral.
GAAUGUGGUCUUAUGAACUUAAAAAGAAUAUUUGCUUUUAAGCAAUAUACUGCUGUUGAAUAUUAAUCCCCUAAAAAAGAAUAUUUGAAGAAAUCUUUAUUUUGAUUUCUGAAAUCUGAAAUGAGAAAAUUGUACCCCAACAAAUUCUUAUUACCCCCCCCCUUUUUUUUUUACCUCCACCUUUCCCUUAUUCCAAAAAAAAAUCUCAAUUCAAAUUUCU